CCUACGGGUGGCAGCAGUGGGGGAUAUUGCACAAUGGGGGAAACUCUGAUGCAGCGACGCCGCGUGUGGGAAGACGGUCCUCUGGAUUGUAAACUACUGUCCCCAGGGACGAAGAUGACGGUACCUGGCGAGGAAGCUCCGGCUAACUACGUGCCAGCAGCCGCGGUAAUACGUGGGGAGCGAGCGUUGUCCGGAAUUACUGGGUGAAAAGGGAGCGUAGGCGGGACUGCAAGUUGGGUGUCAAAUCUACCGGCUCAACCGGUAGCCGCACUUAAAACUGCAGUUCUUGAGUGAAGUAGGGGCAGGCGGAAUUCCUGGUGUAGCGGUGAAAUGCGUAGAUAUUAGGAGGAACACCAGUGGCGAAGGCGGGCUGCUGGGCUUUUACUGACGCUGAGGCUCGAAAGUGUGGGGAGCAAACAGGAUUAGAUACCCUUGUAGUC
Molecule: ribosomal RNA, 440 nt
Filed under: uncultured bacterium
Lineage: Bacteria
Description: partial 16S ribosomal RNA
Rfam family: Bacterial small subunit ribosomal RNA
Source: RNAcentral